CCCAAACGAUCCCAGCUCUUCCCUCUUUCUAACCCACUUUCCUCUUUCUCUCAUUAUCUCAAGUCUACUGAACUUUUCUCUGAUACCACACACAAACCGGAGUCGUUACUAUGAACGGAGUCUUCCCGGUGAUCUAAGAUACAAUAAUAAUAAAAAAAAAAAAAAAAAAAACCGCCUGGCGAAGUACUACAAUCCUCUUGAGGAAUCUGAGAAGCACAAGGUUGAAAAUGAGGUCAAUGAUAAAGCAAUGUUGCUACAUUCAAUUCCAGCACUCCAUCAUGUUUGGAACCAGGAAACAGUUU
Molecule: long non-coding RNA, 302 nt
Organism: Papaver somniferum (opium poppy)
Lineage: Eukaryota; Viridiplantae; Streptophyta; Magnoliopsida; Ranunculales; Papaveraceae
Exons: 3
Source: RefSeq, a predicted model, not a curated record